CGAGAUAGUCGGACGGCGGCACGGAAACGUGAGGAAAGUCCGAGCACCGCAGGGCAAGGGUGCAGGUUAACUGCCUGUGAAGGCGACUUCAAGGAAAGUGCAACAGAAAAAAACCGCCCGCAAGGGUAAGGAUGGAAAGGCGAGGUAAGAGCUCACCCGCAAAUCGGCG
This 169-nucleotide RNase P RNA is filed under the name Candidatus Limadaptatus stercorigallinarum. RNAcentral describes it as "partial RNase P RNA component class A". It matches the Rfam family "Bacterial RNase P class A", at positions 1 to 191 of the family's 367-position model. From Rfam's summary of the family: Ribonuclease P (RNase P) is a ubiquitous endoribonuclease, found in archaea, bacteria and eukarya as well as chloroplasts and mitochondria. Its best characterised activity is the generation of mature 5'-ends of tRNAs by cleaving the 5'-leader elements of precursor-tRNAs. Lineage: Bacteria; Bacillati; Bacillota; Clostridia; Eubacteriales. The record is from RNAcentral.